GCUGAGAACUCUAGGGAGACUGCCGGUGACAAACCGGAGGAAGGUGGGGAUGACGUCAGGUCAUCAUGGCCCUUACGGCCUGGGCUACACACGUGCUACAAUGGUGGUGACAGUGGGCAGCGAGACGGCAACGUCGAGCUAAUCUCCAAAAACCAUCUCAGUUCGGAUUGGGGUCUGCAACUCGACCCCAUGAAGUCGGAAUCGCUAGUAAUCGCGAAUCAGAAUGUCGCGGUGAAUACGUUCCCGGGCCUUGUACACACCGCCCGUCAAACCAUGGAAGCUGGGAGUGCCUGAAGUCGGUUACCGCAAGGAGCCGCCUAGGGUAAAACUGGUAACUAGGGCUAAGUCGAAACAAGGUAGCCGUACCGGAAGGUGCGGCUGGAACACCUCCUU
This 393-nucleotide ribosomal RNA is filed under the name Thalassiosira antarctica. RNAcentral's name for it is "partial Bacterial small subunit ribosomal RNA". It matches the Rfam family "Bacterial small subunit ribosomal RNA", at positions 1130 to 1532 of the family's 1533-position model. The record is from RNAcentral. Lineage: Eukaryota; Bacillariophyta; Thalassiosirophyceae; Thalassiosirales; Thalassiosiraceae.